Acanthosepion pharaonis is the source of this 112-nucleotide non-coding RNA. The record is from the annotation of a GenBank genome assembly. Lineage: Eukaryota; Metazoa; Mollusca; Cephalopoda; Sepiida; Sepiidae.
UUACGGCCAUGUCACGUGAAAACGCCGGUUCUCGUUCGAUCAUCGUAGUUAAGCAACAUCGACGUUGGUCAGUAGCUAGAUGGGUAACCUUCGGAAUACCAGGUGCAGUAAG